Molecule: ribosomal RNA, 887 nt
Filed under: uncultured marine eukaryote
Lineage: Eukaryota
Description: SSU rRNA
Rfam family: Eukaryotic small subunit ribosomal RNA
Source: RNAcentral
ACACAGGGAGGUAGUGACAAGAAAUAACAAUACAGGGCUACUUCUAGUCUUGUAAUUGGAAUGAGUACAACUUACAUCUCUUCACGAGGAUCAAUUGGAGGGCAAGUCUGGUGCCAGCAGCCGCGGUAAUUCCAGCUCCAAUAGCGUAUAUUAAAGUUGUUGCAGUUAAAAAGCUCGUAGUCGGAUUUCGGGGCGGGCCGGGCGGUCUGCCGAUGGGUAUGCACUGUUCGGCGCGUCCUUCUUUCCGGAGACCGCGCCUACUCUUAGCUGAGCGGGCGUGGGAGACGGAUCGUUUACUUUGAAAAAAUCAGAGUGUUUCAAGCAGGCAGCUCGCUCUUGCAUGGAUUAGCAUGGGGUAAUGAAAUAGGACUCUGGUGCUAUUUUGUUGGUUUCGAACACCGGAGUAAUGAUUAACAGGGACAGUCAGGGGCACUCGUAUUCCGUCGAGAGAGGUGAAAUUCUCAGACCAAUGGAAGACGAACCACUGCGAAAGCAUUUGCCAGGGAUGUUUUCACUGAUCAAGAACGAAAGUUAGGGGAUCGAAGACGAUCAGAUACCGUCGUAGUCUUAACCAUAAACCAUGCCGACUAGGGAUUGGAGGGUGUUCUAUUUGACCCCUUCAGCACCUUACGGGAAACUAAAGUCUUUGGGUUCCGGGGGGAGUAUGGUCGCAAGGCUGAAACUUAAAGGAAUUGACGGAAGGGCACCACCAGGAGUGGAGCCUGCGGCUUAAUUUGACUCAACACGGGGAAACUUACCAGGUCCAGACAUUGUUAGGAUUGACAGAUUGAGAGCUCUUUCUUGAUUCGAUGGGUGGUGGUGCAUGGCCGUUCUUAGUUGGUGGAGUGAUUUGUCUGGUUAAUUCCGUUAACGAACGAGACCUUAUC